UCAUCACGAUUGUUCUUCUGCUCUUGAUCUGUUUCUUGCUGCGUAAAAGGAUCUUCAGGUAUUUUCUGAAAGCAGAGACGUACGUUCAUUGCAGUGAUUCAGAAAUCAGGGAUCCUGAAUCUGCUGUCCAGAAGAAGCUCAGAUCUGAUGAAUCUGAUUCACUGAAUCAUACUGAAUCUGAAUAGAUCAACGGCUCGUGUCCAGAGGAUCAUCCUGUCAUCUCACUGAACGUCAUUCAUUAAUGGUUUCUGUGUGAUAUUUCACUUGCUGUAAUUGGUACUGGUUCUGCCUAAUAUAAUAUGUAGCUGAAAUAA
Megalobrama amblycephala (Wuchang bream) is the source of this 314-nucleotide long non-coding RNA. RefSeq lists it as uncharacterized. NCBI's taxonomy places the organism in Eukaryota, Metazoa, Chordata, Actinopteri, Cypriniformes, Xenocyprididae. The transcript is spliced from 3 exons. The record is from RefSeq and is a predicted model, not a curated record.